Molecule: ribosomal RNA, 254 nt
Filed under: uncultured bacterium
Lineage: Bacteria
Description: partial 16S ribosomal RNA
Rfam family: Bacterial small subunit ribosomal RNA
Source: RNAcentral
UACGGGGGGGGGCAAGCGUUGUUCGGAAUUACUGGGCGUAAAGGGCUCGUAGGUGGCCAACUAAGUCAGACGUGAAAUCCCUCGGCUUAACCGGGGGACUGCGUCUGAUACUGGAUGGCUGGAGUAUGGGAGAGGAAUGCGGAAUUCCAGGUGUAGCGGUGAAAUGCGUAGAUAUCUGGAGGAACACCGGUGGCGAAGGCGGCAUUCUGGACCAUUACUGACGCUGAGGAGCGAAAGCCAGGGGAGCAAACGGG